Molecule: long non-coding RNA, 109 nt
Organism: Haliotis rubra (blacklip abalone)
Lineage: Eukaryota; Metazoa; Mollusca; Gastropoda; Lepetellida; Haliotidae
Exons: 3
Source: RefSeq, a predicted model, not a curated record
CGAUUGGGCCCUGCGCCUUACCUAGAUAAAGCUUUGAAUUGAAUAUGAAGAAAAUCCAGAGAGUGGUUCUUGAGAUAGCUUAACAUGCAGGUAAAACAUGAACGUCCCC